UACGUAGGGGGCAAGCGUUAUCCGGAAUUAUUGGGCGUAAAGAGUGCGUAGGUGGUUACCUAAGCAGGGGGUGAAAGGCAAUGGCUCAACCAUUGUUAGCCCUCUGAACUGGGUUACUUGAGUGCAGGAGAGGAAAGCGGAAUUCCUAGUGUAGCGGUGAAAUGCGUAGAUAUUAGGAGGAACACCAGUGGCGAAGGCGGCUUUCUGGACUGAAACUGACACUGAGGCACGAAAGUGUGGGGAGCAAACAGG
RNAcentral lists this ribosomal RNA (252 nucleotides) under uncultured bacterium. Its description in RNAcentral is "partial 16S ribosomal RNA". It matches the Rfam family "Bacterial small subunit ribosomal RNA", at positions 524 to 776 of the family's 1533-position model. The record is from RNAcentral.